RNAcentral lists this long non-coding RNA (1982 nucleotides) under Setaria viridis. RNAcentral's name for it is "long non-coding RNA (SVIR_LNC007534)". Lineage: Eukaryota; Viridiplantae; Streptophyta; Magnoliopsida; Poales; Poaceae. The record is from RNAcentral.
ACGGAUGUUGUCUAUUUGACAUGAGCAGUCCUCCAAUCGCAUCUGUUGAUGGAGAGCGGUAGAGAGCUCCCAGGAGUCAUCAGACUGACCUUGUUCGAUAAUUCCAUCACAAACCCAAUAGUUGGAAGCGUGGGUAGUCCAAUUGUAGUCCAUGGUACCACCACCCCUUCUAUUAUUCAACCACUUUUCAUGAUUCAACCACAAUAUGUAGGAGAUACACUUGGCAGCUAUUGUUGGGGUGAUGCUCUGCUUAUGCUGUAUGGACUUGACAAUUUCUGUAGCCUCAUCCAAUAUUAGUUUAGCAUAUAUGUCAUCGUCGAAGGUCCUGUAAAGAGGCUGAUAAAUAUACAAAUGUGAACUGUCCACCUUGUCUUUUACUUGCGGGUUGAGCCGAAGCCUUCCUCUGAAAGUCCACAGUAUCUUAGAACCAAGGAAUUCAGGUCGUGGAAUACCACAACUAGCCAAGUCCACCGUAUCAUUGCUUCCAUUGUGAAAGACAACUAAGUAUCUGCAUCAUACCAGGGAUUCAGUUAUCAGCCACCAAACUUCUCCAAUCUCAGCUCUAGAACCUUCAUCUACUCCGCUGAAAUCAUCCUCCUCAUCUUGCCUGUUGAAAGCCGCCAUUACCCUCUGAGUAAGGUUGAGUUCAUCAGCGAUCACCCUCUGGAGUGCCCUUCGGCUCUUCCACAUCGAGCAAUCAAUGUGGAGGAUCUUGUCAAAUUUCUUCUUCAGAGAUGGUGGAGGGUCCUCUGCUAUAGCUCUGAGCACAGCAGAAGCAGCCAGUCCAUCCCAUCCGUCAAAGUAGAUGGCCUUGUGUGCAGUUGUUCCGGUAUCCUCCAACAAAGGGAUUAUUCUUUCAACCGCCGCCUCGACUCUGUACUCAUCAAGCUGCAUGACACGAUUUAUCAGUUGACGUCACUCUCGACCCCAUAAACUUGGAUGGCAUUGUUUCCAUACAGGUCAAGGAGCUUGAUUACUCGAAGCUUGCAAAGGUUCUGCAGUUGUCCCCAUGCAAGGUUGCUGCGCCAAAUCCUUCCAUUCUUUACAUGAAUCUCUCUGAUGUUUACAGCCAUCUGCUCUAUCGAGUCUUGCAAUAGAUCCAAUUCCCAAUCCAUGUUCCUAACAUCUAGCACCCAUAGGCUAUGGAGAUAUUUCGUUGUUGGUCUCCUUUGCCUGUCCUCUUCUUCCUGCGGUUGAUCUUUGCAUUUCUCUAAUCCAAGGAAUCUUAGGCUAUGGCAACAGCAGAAUGGAGGGGAAUAGAAGCUGAAAUUGCAUCCAGACAGUUUCAGUACACGAAGUCUAUACGACUGUUGAAACAUUUUAGGUGGCAAUGAUAAUCCGUUUUUGGCACUAAGGAAAUAGGAUGAUGUCCCUUCUUCAAUGUUAGAUGGAUCUUCAAUGACAGACUUCCAUUGUUCCCUGUAUUCAUGACCACUGAACUUGACUGUUGGAGAUGAGCAGUCCUCUAAUCGUAUCUGUUGAUGGAGAGCGGUAGAGAGCUCCCAGGAGUCAUCAUCAGACUGACCUUCUUCGAUAAUUCCAUCACAAACCCAAUAGUUGGAAGCGUGGGUAGUCCAAUCGUAGUCCAUGGUACCACCACCCUUUUGAUUAAUCAACCACAAUAUGUAGGAGAUACACUUGGCAGCUAUUGUUGGGGUGAUGCUCUGCUUAUGCUGUAUGGACUUGACAAUUUCUGUAGCCUCAUCCAAUAUUAGUUUAGCAGUGUCAUGAUCGAAGCUCCAGUCAAUAGGCCGAUAAAUAUACAAAUGUGAACUGUCCACCUUGUCUUUUACUUGCGGGUUGAGCCGAAGCCUUCCUCUGAAAGUCCACAGUAUCUUAGAACCAAGGAAUUCAGGUCGUGGAAUACCACAACUAGCCAAGUCCACCGUAUCAUUGCUUCCAUUGUGAAAGACAACUAAGUAUCUGCAUCGUAACAGGGAUUCAGUUAUCAGCAACCCAACUUCUCCAAUCUCAGCUCUAGA